Neogale vison (American mink) is the source of this 107-nucleotide small nuclear RNA. The record is from Ensembl. Lineage: Eukaryota; Metazoa; Chordata; Mammalia; Carnivora; Mustelidae.
GUACCUGCUUCGGCAGCACAUGUACUAAAAUUGGAACGAUACAGAGAAGAUUAGCAUGGCCCCUGUACAGGGAUGGCACACAAAUUCAUGAACUGUUCCAUAUUUUU